Molecule: non-coding RNA, 209 nt
Organism: Oryza glumipatula
Lineage: Eukaryota; Viridiplantae; Streptophyta; Magnoliopsida; Poales; Poaceae
Source: Rfam
UAUAAGUGUAGUUGUGGGUUUUCAUCUCCAACAUUUGACUGUCCGUCUUAUCUUAUUUGAAAAAAUUAUGAUUAGUAUUUUUAUUGUUAUUAGAUGAUAAAACAUGAAUAAUACUUAUGGUGACUUUUUUUUUUCUAAUUUUUACAUAAAUUUCUUAACAAAGACGGACGGUCAAACGUUGGAUACGAAAACCCACAAUUUCAUUUAUA